UAGAUGUAUGGCCGACACUUGUCCGGGGCUUUGUCCAAUUAUGCUCCAAUUUAGUCCAAUUUCUUACGAAAAUAUAAUAUCCUCCAAAAUACAAUGCAUAUGCGAAAACGUCCCAAUUAUCAGGUAUGAUCAAUAGUUUUGAUAUCAUUUAUAUGCUGAUAUUGAAGAUAAACACUGACCUGUUGCCGCGCCGGCAAGCUCCGCCAUGAACAGCCGCCGCCGCCGCACGCGGGCAAACAAACUUUACUGCAGAGGCUUGAGCUCCGCCACAUGUAGGGGCCAAGCUCGGUUGCCCGAGUUCGAGCUCCAUUUCGAAAGGCCAGUGAGCUACGCCACACAUGAGCGGGCGAGCUCUGCCACCCAAGAAUCACCUAGCAGGCGAG
RNAcentral lists this long non-coding RNA (383 nucleotides) under Setaria viridis. Its description in RNAcentral is "long non-coding RNA (SVIR_LNC001930)". Lineage: Eukaryota; Viridiplantae; Streptophyta; Magnoliopsida; Poales; Poaceae. The record is from RNAcentral.